RNAcentral lists this ribosomal RNA (468 nucleotides) under uncultured bacterium. RNAcentral describes it as "partial 16S ribosomal RNA". It matches the Rfam family "Bacterial small subunit ribosomal RNA", at positions 28 to 507 of the family's 1533-position model. The record is from RNAcentral.
GACGAACGCUGGCGGCGGGCUUAACACAUGCAAGUCGAACGGAAAGGCCCUGCGUGUUUGCGGUUCUGGAGUGGCGAACGGGGGAGUAAGAGGUGAGUAACCGGCCCUACACUUUGGGAUAACUUCAGGAAACUGGAGCUAAGACCGUAUAGCAUCUCCUCUUGCAUUGUGGGCGGGGGAUAUUUUCGGCUUGUGGGGAUGGACGCGCGGCUGAUGAGCUUGUUGGUUGGGUAGUGGCUUACCAAGGCUUUGACGGGUAGCCGGCCCGAGAGGGUGACCGGGCACAUUAGGCCUGCGAUACGGCCCAGACUGCUAUGGGAGGCAGCAGGGGCGAAUCUUGUCCAGUGGGAGGGAGCCUGAUGCGGAAACGUCGGGUGCGGGAUGACGGCCUUCGGGUUGUAAAACGCUUCCGCCUGUGACGCAGCGUGACUGACGGUAAUGGGUAAAGAAGCACCGGCUAACUACGUG